Molecule: ribosomal RNA, 372 nt
Filed under: uncultured organism
Description: bacterial SSU rRNA
Rfam family: Bacterial small subunit ribosomal RNA
Source: RNAcentral
CAGAGGUCCCGAGCGUUGUUCGGAUUCACUGGGCGUAAAGGGUGCGUAGGUGGUGAGGUAAGUCGGAUGUGAAAUCUCCGGGCUCAACCCGGAAAUGGCAUUGGAAACUACCUUGCUGGAGGAUUUGAGGGGGGAUUGGAAUACUUGGUGUAGCAGUGAAAUGCGUAGAUAUCAAGUGGAACACCAGUGGCGAAGGCGAAUCCCUGGAAAUACCUGACACUGAGGCACGAAAGCUAGGGGGAGCAAACAGGAUUGGAUACCCUGGUAGUCCUAGCCCUAAACGGUGCUUGCUUGCUGUAAGAGGAAUCGACCCCUCUUGUGGCGGAGCUAACGCGUUAAGCAAGCCGCCUGGGAAGUACGGUCGCAAGAUUA